Molecule: ribosomal RNA, 253 nt
Filed under: uncultured bacterium
Lineage: Bacteria
Description: partial 16S ribosomal RNA
Rfam family: Bacterial small subunit ribosomal RNA
Source: RNAcentral
UACGUGGGGUGCGAGCGUUGUUCGGAAUUACUGGGCGUAAAGCGCGUGUAGGCGGCUUGUUAAGUCCGGUGUGAAAUCCCUGAGCUCAACUCAGGAACUGCAUCGGAAACUGGCGAGCUUGAGUCCGGGAGAGGGUGGUGGAAUUCCUGGUGUAGAGGUGAAAUUCGUAGAUAUCAGGAGGAACACCGGUGGCGAAGGCGGCCACCUGGACCGGUACUGACGCUGAGACGCGAAAGCGUGGGGAGCAAACAGG